Molecule: transfer RNA, 72 nt
Filed under: Canis lupus familiaris (dog)
Lineage: Eukaryota; Metazoa; Chordata; Mammalia; Carnivora; Canidae
Also listed under: 1 other name
Rfam family: tRNA
About the family: Transfer RNA (tRNA) molecules are approximately 80 nucleotides in length. Their secondary structure includes four short double-helical elements and three loops (D, anti-codon, and T loops). Further hydrogen bonds mediate the characteristic L-shaped molecular structure. tRNAs have two regions of fundamental functional importance: the anti-codon, which is responsible for specific mRNA codon recognition, and the 3' end, to which the tRNAs corresponding amino acid is attached (by aminoacyl-tRNA synthetases). tRNAs cope with the degeneracy of the genetic code in two manners: having more than one tRNA (with a specific anti-codon) for a particular amino acid; and 'wobble' base-pairing, i.e. permitting non-standard base-pairing at the 3rd anti-codon position.
Source: Rfam by way of RNAcentral
ACCUGGCUGGCUCAGUUGGUGGAGCAUGUGACUCUUGAUCUGGGGGUCAUGAGUUGAGUCUCAUGUUGGGUA